GACGAACGUUGGCGGCGUGCUUAAUACAUGCAAGUCAACUGAAGCAGUGGUAGCAAUCUCGCUGUGGAGGUGGCGCACGGGUGAGUAACACGUAGGUAAUCUGCCUUCAGGUCUGGCAUAACUCCGGGAAACCGGGGCUAAUAGCAGAUGAUGCAGCGGCUCGACAUCGAGACAGUUGUUAAAGCUAUGGCGCCUGAAGAUGAGCCUGCGUCUGAUUAGCUAGUUGGCGGGGUAACGGCCCACCAAGGCAACGAUCAGUAGCUGGUCUGAGAGGAUGAUCAGCCACACUGGAACUGAGACACGGUCCAGACUCCGACGGGAGGCAGCAGUAAGGAAUAUUGCUCAAUGGGAGAAAUCCUGAAGCAGCAACGCCGCGUGAGGGACGAAGGGCUUUUGCUUGUAAACCUCUGUAGUGAGAGAAAAAAAUCCCAAUCUUUGGGACAUGAUGGUAUCUCAAAAGUAAGCCCCGGCUAACUACGUG
Molecule: ribosomal RNA, 481 nt
Filed under: uncultured bacterium
Lineage: Bacteria
Description: partial 16S ribosomal RNA
Rfam family: Bacterial small subunit ribosomal RNA
Source: RNAcentral